RNAcentral lists this small nuclear RNA (107 nucleotides) under Catagonus wagneri (Chacoan peccary). Lineage: Eukaryota; Metazoa; Chordata; Mammalia; Artiodactyla; Tayassuidae. The record is from RNAcentral.
GUUCUGGCUUCAACAACACAUAUACUAAAAUUGGAACCAUACAGAGAAGAUUAGCAUGGCUCCUGGGCAAGGAUGACAUGCAAAUUCAUGAAGUGUUCCAUAUUUUU